AUGGUUGAAGGCGUUAAUCAAGAACCUAAAAAUCGUUGCCGAAAACCACGAACGAAGGGGGAAGAUAUAAAAUUAGCGGUGACUGAAAGUGAUUAUUGCGGAUUAAGGUCGUUGAUCGUCAAGGACAGGAACGACGGCGUUCGAAGAAGGCGGAGGGAUUCGGCGCCGUUGAUGAAGGAAGGGGAUCACUUCUUCUCAAGAAGUUGGAGCGUCACUUGUUUGUGA
This is a non-coding RNA of Vicia faba (fava bean), 225 nucleotides long. The record is from the annotation of a GenBank genome assembly. NCBI's taxonomy places the organism in Eukaryota, Viridiplantae, Streptophyta, Magnoliopsida, Fabales, Fabaceae.